RNAcentral lists this ribosomal RNA (253 nucleotides) under uncultured bacterium. RNAcentral's name for it is "partial 16S ribosomal RNA". It matches the Rfam family "Bacterial small subunit ribosomal RNA", at positions 524 to 776 of the family's 1533-position model. The record is from RNAcentral.
UACGUAGGGGGCAAGCGCUGUCCGGAUUUAUUGGGCGUAAAGAGCGUGUAGGUGGUUUGGUAGGUCCGUUGUGAAAACUCGAGGCUCAACCUCGAGACGCCGGUGGAAACCGUAAAGCUAGAGUCCGGAAGAGGAGAGUGGAAUUCCUGGUGUAGCGGUGAAAUGCGCAGAUAUCAGGAGGAACACCCGUGGCGAAAGCGGCUCUCUGGGACGGUACUGACGCUGAGACGCGAAAGCGUGGGGAGCAAACAGG